GGGGAGGUGGCUCAGUGACAGAGCACUUGUCUUGCAUGCAUGAGGCCCUGGGUUUGAUUCCCCUGCACCA
Molecule: non-coding RNA, 70 nt
Organism: Dipodomys ordii (Ord's kangaroo rat)
Lineage: Eukaryota; Metazoa; Chordata; Mammalia; Rodentia; Heteromyidae
Source: Rfam